AAACUAUUAAUAGCCUGGUAGGCAGCAUUCAGUCCUCCUAUGUCUUCUUUCUCCUGUUGUGGUUUUUCUUCUGAAACAAAAGAAGAAAUUGUCAAAUCAGACUUGCCCUCUUGGAAGUGUGGUCCAGAUUGCUCUACUCCCAAGCUCCAGCAAA
Pteropus vampyrus (large flying fox) is the source of this 154-nucleotide non-coding RNA. The record is from Rfam. NCBI's taxonomy places the organism in Eukaryota, Metazoa, Chordata, Mammalia, Chiroptera, Pteropodidae.